RNAcentral lists this long non-coding RNA (2175 nucleotides) under Homo sapiens (human). RNAcentral's name for it is "HSALNT0303822". The record is from RNAcentral. Lineage: Eukaryota; Metazoa; Chordata; Mammalia; Primates; Hominidae.
AUAUGUCACCACCUACCUGCUUUAUCUCUUUGUCACAUUUUCAUCUCUUUCUACUUCAACUUUCCUUUGAUUCAUCCCCAAAAGCUUUCCCCUAGGCCACUUGGCAGUAUUCCCUCACUAGUCAAAAUCUGGUGGGUCUUUCUUGAGUGAGCUCUCAGAGCUGACCUCCUUUUUUAAGACAUCUAUUUGCAUGCAGGUGGCCAUCGAUGACAUCAAUGGUUUUGCAGUAUUGAGCCACAUUUUGGAUUUUACCUAGAAGAUGUGCAGAAUAUAAAUGUUUUCAUGAGAACAAAAUAUACAGCUGGAUGUUUGUCACAAUUCUAAUGUCCCUGCAAAGAUGAGAUGCAUGAAUCACACAGCAAUCUCAUCAAAAAGGAAUUUCUGGAAGGCAUAGGAGAAGAGAAUCCUGGAAAAAGCAAGAAGCAGGAAGAUAAGAGGCAAAGAAGAAGAGAGCCCCACCCACUGGGGCAAGCUGGGGCCCCAGAUGAUGAAACUGUGGCCCAGAAAGUUUAAGGGAUGUGUCAAAUGUCACACAGCUCACAGAUCCAGGGACAUGGCUUAAAUCCAGAUAUCUUGAUUCUAACUUCAGUUGAGGAAGAGAAAGAGUGCUGCCCCACGCUGCCUGAUUUACAACGUGAAGUGAAAUCUUUGAAAAGAAAAAUAAGACAAUGUCACUCAAGCUCUUAUCUGAGGAUUUCCUGGGUUUGAAGACAGAGCUCAAACUCAUACAAGGGGUCAUCUGAGUCUGCAGAUAGGCUUGCUUUAUGCUGCUCCGUCAGAUCUCUUCUAAAGAUUAGUGCGCAAUUCUGGACAUUACAUUUUAAUGGUAACAUGGAUUCAACUAAAGGCCGCAGCAACUUUGCUUUGUACACUCUGUCUCCUGCCAAGAGAGCCCAGGGAAGGUAAUGUCUCCUGGAUCGUAUGAAAUGUUUCUGUAACGGUCACUGUAACUCACACCUUGAUUUUUACCAGGUCGCUGGCAAGUGCGAUGGAUUGUAAUUGCUGCACAUUCAUGAGGGCUUCUCAAGGUUACCCGGGCACAGUGAAUACCAAAAGAAGAAUAAGACGGAGAGCUAUUCCUCAGUGAAGCAGAGUUUACAACCCUUGUUCAUUUUGGCCAAAGGCCAGCUGACUCUAGUUUACCUAACUUUUAGAGAGUUUCAGAAAAAAAAAUGGAAGUAAUAUCCUGCCUUUGAGUAUGGAGACAAAAUUCUAAUAUCAUAAGAGAGUUAUCAGAGGUUAAGGCAGUUAGAAGGGUUCAUUCAUUCAACAUUCAACACAAACUGUGAACACCUAACAUUUGCCAUGUACAAAGAAGGACGUUCUGCCUUGGACUAACAUCCAUUCCUGUGAGGGAAGAGAAGCAGCAGGCCUGGAUGAUGCUGCCGCUUGAAGAAGAAAAUCUUUCUCCUGCCAGAGUCCUGCUUAACCUUAGCUGGGGGAGGUGAUCUUUAACACUAACUAUUAAAGUUUGAGCCCAGAGACUGGUGCUAAUUCACCCUGACCAACCUCUCACACAGCCACAGAAUUCUCCCCUGCACACCAGGGCACCACCACUGGGAGCUGUUGGCAAUAAGGGAGUGGAGAAGGUAGAAUGUGAGAGGCCCUCAGUCAUCCACUCCUCUAGUCAGUAGCCUUCCACUCAUAAAUGGAUAAAAACAAGAGCCAUUUUUAGAUUCAGCAUUUCCUGGGGAGAACAAUUCCAGCCCCAAACUUCAGAUGUCAGCAGAGAACAGUGUGGGCUCUUUAUGUUCCUCAAGAACAUGCACACUGAGCUUCCCCCGCAGCCCCCGAGCACUGCCAGCUGCUGCUGCUGCGAUCCCAGUGUCUGAGUUUGUGACUCGCCGGGAGAUUGUCUGUUCCUGCUGCUUCCAAUAUCGUCUUGGCCUUUAUGAAGGCACAUGCACACGACUGUAGCGGCACCCCUGUCUCCGGCCCAUUGUGGACAUGACUGCUCUUCCAGUGUGGCUCCCCUGUGACAGGCACCUGCUCAGCAACCUACAGAAGCUCCCCCAGCUAUCACAGCUCAAAACUAAAUGUAGACGUGUGACUCUAUGAUACCUUCUGGCUAAAGAUUGCAUCUUUAUCAUCAGAGCAAUAUAUAUCAGGUUGAUUUAUUAACACUCUAUCUCCAAUUGGCUCUAUGCAAUGUGCAGACAAAUAAACACGUAAAUG